RNAcentral lists this small RNA (809 nucleotides) under Pongo abelii (Sumatran orangutan). RNAcentral's name for it is "processed transcript". Lineage: Eukaryota; Metazoa; Chordata; Mammalia; Primates; Hominidae. The record is from RNAcentral.
CUUUCCCCUCCGGCCUCUGCCGGUGCUGCUGCGCCCCGCGGAGCUCCGAACACGUGCGCAGAGGCCGGCUGUGGCAGAUGCAACUGCAGGAUGACUUGAAAGUAGGGCAUCCUUCACCCAUCUGAAGGGAGGAAAUAGUGGCAGGUGACAGUCUGCAUGUGCAGUUUUCAGAUCCCAAUCACAGUGCUUGGCACAUGGCAGGAUCUCCCUGAAUGUUGGAUAAAACAACUGAAAACACGGAAGGGGGUUCCUGUUAAAGGGUUUGACAACAGGGUCUGCAAUCAGUGCUUCCAUGCCUGUUUUGCAGCCAACAUUCAACUGAUACGUCUUCUACCUGGAGUGCCUAGAUGCCUUCACCUGAAUGACAUCUACCUCCAUCAGGACCCCAGAUGUCUGAUAGCCCUGUGUGACACCAAGAUAAGUAAUAAUCUGUUUGGCUGCUGACUACCCUAUUGGACAACUCCAAUAUUAGAGAACAUUUCCACCAAUUCAGAAAGUUUAUUAUGCACUGCUGUUCUAGAGCAGGGAUCAGCAAACUUGCUGUAAAGAGCCAGGAUCCCGUUGAAGAUACCACAUUACACUUAGGCUCCUGUUGGCCAUGACAGCUUCUUAGACUUGUUUUUAAUGACCUUGACAGUUUUGUUUUUUUGUUUGUUUGUUUUUAUUUGAGAUGGAAUCUCUGUCAUCCAGGCUGGAGUGCAAUGUAAUGGCUCAAUCUCAGCUCACUGCAACCUCUGCCUCCCGGGUUCAAAUGAUUCUCCUGCCUCAGCCUCCCCAGUAGCUGGGAUUACAGUCACGAGCCACCGCGC